This 331-nucleotide ribosomal RNA is filed under the name uncultured bacterium. RNAcentral describes it as "bacterial SSU rRNA". It matches the Rfam family "Bacterial small subunit ribosomal RNA", at positions 29 to 349 of the family's 1533-position model. The record is from RNAcentral.
AGCGAACGUUUGCGGCGGGCUUAACACAUGCAAGUCGAACGGGCUGUUCCUUCGGGGGCAGUCAGUGGCGCACGGGUGCGUAACACGUAGGUAAUCAACCCUCUGGUUGGGGAUAACACUUCGAAAGGAGUGCUAAGUACCCGGUAUGGGCGCAGCGGUCUUCGGAUCGCGGCGAGGAAAGACCCGGCAAGGGGUUGCCAGAGGACGAGCCUGCGGCCCAUCAGCUAGUUGGCGAGGUAACGGGCUCACCCAAGGCGAAGACGGGUAGCUGGUCUGAGAGGAUGAUCAGCCACACUGGAACUGAGACACGGUCCAGACUCCUACGGGAGGC